AGCAUGGUGUGUGCAACGCCAGGGUUGUGGGUUCGAUUCCCACGGGGGGCCAGUACAAAAAAAAUGCAUGAAAUGUAUUCAUUCACUACUGUAAGUCGCUCUGGAUAAGAGCGUCUGCUAAAUGACUAAAAUGUAAAAAAAAAUGUAAAAAAUGUAGAGAGAGGUAGAGAGAGGGAGAGCGAGGUAGAGCAAGGUAGAGAGAGGGAGAGAGAGGUAGAGAGAGGUAGAGCAAGGUAGAGAGAGGGAGAGAGAGGUAGAGAGAGGUAGAGGUAGAGAGAGGGAGAGGUAGAGAGGUAGAGAGAGGGAGAGCGAGAAAGACAAUUAGACCCAACCAAAUCAUGAAAAAACAAAAAGAUAAUUUCUUGACACAUUGGAAAGAAUGAACAAAAAAACA
RNAcentral lists this long non-coding RNA (394 nucleotides) under Salmo salar (Atlantic salmon). RNAcentral describes it as "lncRNA (ENSSSAG00000082885.1)". The stretch from base 78 to 131 matches the Rfam family "UnaL2 LINE 3' element". Lineage: Eukaryota; Metazoa; Chordata; Actinopteri; Salmoniformes; Salmonidae. The record is from RNAcentral.